AAAUUGAAGAGUUUGAUCAUGGCUCAGAUUGAACGCUGGCGGCAGGCCUAACACAUGCAAGUCGAACGGUAACAGGAAACAGCUUGCUGUUUCGCUGACGAGUGGCGGACGGGUGAGUAAUGUCUGGGAAAUUGCCUGAUGGAGGGGGAUAACUACUGGAAACGGUAGCUAAUACCGCAUAACGUCGCAAGACCAAAGAGGGGGACC
RNAcentral lists this ribosomal RNA (207 nucleotides) under Escherichia coli. RNAcentral describes it as "partial 16S ribosomal RNA". It matches the Rfam family "Bacterial small subunit ribosomal RNA", at positions 1 to 215 of the family's 1533-position model. Lineage: Bacteria; Pseudomonadati; Pseudomonadota; Gammaproteobacteria; Enterobacterales; Enterobacteriaceae. The record is from RNAcentral.